AUGAACGCUGGCGGCGUGCCUCAUACAUGCCAGUCGAGCGCACAGACGAGGAGCUUGCUCCUCUGACGUUAGCGGCGGACGGGUGAGUAACACGUGGAUAACCUACCUAUAAGACUGGGAUAACUUCGGGAAACCGGAGCUAAUACCGGAUCAUAUAUUGAACCGCAUGGUUCAAUAGUGAAAGACGGUUUUGCUGUCACUUAUAGAUGGAUCCGCGCCGCAUUAGCUAGUUGGUAAGGUAACGGCUUACCAAGGCAACGAUGCGUAGCCGACCUGAGAGGGUGAUCGGCCACACUGGAACUGAGACACGGUCCAGACUCCUACGGGAGGCAGCAGUAGGGAAUCUUCCGCAAUGGGCGAAAGCCUGACGGAGCAACGCCGCGUGAGUGAUGAAGGUCUUCGGAUCGUAAAACUCUGUUAUUAGGGAAGAACAAAUGUGUAAGUAACUAUGCACGUCUUGACGGUACCUAAUCAGAAAGCCACGGCUAACUACGUG
RNAcentral lists this ribosomal RNA (496 nucleotides) under uncultured bacterium. Its description in RNAcentral is "partial 16S ribosomal RNA". It matches the Rfam family "Bacterial small subunit ribosomal RNA", at positions 29 to 507 of the family's 1533-position model. The record is from RNAcentral.